GCUGGGCGUUUUAAGUGCCGCGAGGCACCUCUAGGUUACGGGGAGAAUCUGAGGAACAGUCCAGAAUCCAUGAAUAGAAACUAAGAGGGAACGGGACUCAGCGACAGGAAAUAUUUAUUGAGCACUAGCCAUGUGCCAGGCACUCGACUGGGGUGUGGCUAUGAACAAGGCAAGAAUGGUGCCUGUGAGAUGUGGGGCCAGGAGAUUCCUCCCCUGAAAGAGCGCAAGCUCUGCAUUCAGAGGGAACCCGAGUGGCGCGGAGAUGAGCGAGCAAGUAUGCAAAUAUGUAAGAGACACCAGACAGUUCCAUACCACAAGCACCAGAUAGGAGCAAAGAGACCAGCUACGCCAGGAUGUAACCAGCACCCAGCGUUCUCAGUGCAGGGUUGUCACCUGGAAAGGAGAAUUUCUAUUCUGCCUCAGGAGAACAGAGAACAGAUUGAGCCUUUCUUCUGCUUGCUGCUUCUCCAUCUCCUUUUGUUCAAGAGCAAACUUCAGAUCAAAGAUGAUACAUUUUGGUUUCUUCUGAGCCAAUUUGGGACUGAAAGUAAAAAGUAACCUAGAAUUGAAGUGGAGGGCCCUUGACAUGGCCCAGCAGGUAAAGGCACUCUUUGCCGAACCUGGCAACCCCAGUUCCAUCCCUGGGUCUCACACAGGGGAACGAGAGAACCAACUUCCAAUUGUCCUCCUCGACUAAAGUACAGAGGACAUGUGCACACACAAACACAGGGGCAGGCGGGAUAAAAUGUAAUAUAAAUAUUUUUGAAAGAAUUAAGAAAGUAGAGACAUAGCAUUCAAGCGUGAUGCUCAGAUGGUUUCAUGCUUAAGGGACCGUUAUCUGUGAAUGGUACUAGAAACACGCAUCUGAUAAGACGUACUUUUCUCUCUGCUUCUGGGGUACAGAUAAUGGAGCCUGCUGCUUAGCAAUGGGGAGGCUCUGAAGCAGAAAACGCCAGUCGUGUGGUGGCGGGGAGUCUUGAAAAGGAUCAUGUCUCAGCAGAAGCUCAUUGGUUCCCAAUCAUUAUUAUGAUGAAAUCCAUGUAACAUGAAAACCUCCAUCUUAUCUGCCUUUUUAUCACACUUAUUUAUGGGGGGUGUGCACACAUACUGUGGCGAGCACAUGGAGGCCAGGGAACAACUUGUGGUAAUCAGGUCCAUCAUGUGGAUUCUGUACAUGGAACUCAGGUCAUCAGACUGAGUCAUCUCACCAAUUCCUGACUUGAAAAAAAAAUAUUGAGAAAUAGACACACUAUGUAGCCCUGGCUGGCCUUAAACUCAUAGAGAUCUGCCUUUCUCUGCCUCCCAAGUGCUGGGGUUCAAGUCUAGUGCCACUAUACCCCAGCUCUGGCUAAAUUUGUUGGGUUGUUUUUUAUUUUAAUUUUUUGGGUAUGGGUGUUUUUUCGGCGUGUAUGUCUGUGCACCACGUGCAUACCUGAUACCCACAGAGGCCAGAAGAAAGCAUCGGAUCCCCUAGAAGUGUGUUACAGUUAGUAUAAACCUUAAUGUAAGAUUCGUUCAAAGGAGAAAAGCGUCAAAGUGACACCUCCCGGGCACCAGAUGGCGCUGUUCAGCUGCUGGGUCAUUCUCUGUCACCUGAGAGC
Molecule: long non-coding RNA, 1601 nt
Organism: Alexandromys fortis (reed vole)
Lineage: Eukaryota; Metazoa; Chordata; Mammalia; Rodentia; Cricetidae
Exons: 4
Source: RefSeq, a predicted model, not a curated record